GAAUCAGCAUUACACUUUUUGCAGUUCGAUUUUACACCACCGACUAGUUUCAACCCUCGAACUGAAAAAAGUGUAAAAGGCGAACUGCAAAAAGUGUAAAAGUUACAUCUUUUCCAGUUCAGGGUUCCGAACUGCAAAAAGUGUAACUUUUGGACUUAGAAAAAUUUUGAAGAAUUUGCGGAAUCAUUUCACCCGCUGUCAAAUCGGGACUUAGUGAAAUUUGGAUGCUGGUAGCAAGAGGUGUUGCAGAUUAGAUACGCACGCGAACCAACAGCGAAUAGAACGUGUUCCCGGAUUUCGCCUACCGGAAGUAUCCGUGCGCCCAGACCUGGAGAAGAAAACAUUUGAGAAUCGAGGACAAGCAACUUGGAAAGUCCGGAGAGGAGGAUCAAAACCAGCUCCCGGAAAGCCGCUCGCGGCAUUAGAUCUGGCUCCGUAAGCCGCUGCUGAUCCGACAAUCGUGCCAGCUCGGGAAUGCCCGAGAAGCUGCUGGUGGAUCUGGACGGCAUCUACUACAACAAGGGCAACCUUUCUGCGGCCCAACGUGACCGCUUAGGUCGGCGACGCGGUGCUCUUUUGCAUCGAGCACGCCGACGCGGCCGAGGAGAUUUGCGAGUGGUUCGCCGAGUCGCUGUCGAACAACGAAAACCAUGCUCAAGCGGAAGAUCGCCCGCAUCUACCUGAUCUCGGACACUGCACAGCUGCAGUGGCAAGGUAUCGAACGUGAGCUUCUUCCGGAAGGCGUAAGAAUGUUUAAAUUUUGAAAACAGCAGAUUUUUCAUCACAUUUUAAUCCUACAGCGUGGAGAAGAAUCUGCUGGGCAUCUUCAAGAAUCUCUUCGCCUACCACAUGCAGUUGGACAGCCGUCUCAAAGCCGAGGGCUUCAAGUCGCGCGUGAUGAACGUGUUCAAAGCGUGGGAGGAGUGGGCUACCCGAAGGACUUUUUGCUUAGGCUGCAGCACACCUUCCUGGGAAUUGCGAUUGUCGAAAAGCAACCGGAGAAAGUGCCCGCCUGCUGAAGGGAAUUGCCGAUACAGAUUCCAGCACGCCAGUGCUCAAGCACGACAUCUACAACGACGGGAUGCUGCUAAACACCACGGAGGACAUUGACGGCGUUCCGAUGCAGAGCUCGGAGGAGUAGCUCAAAACUGGCGGUUCGUUCCAAGUGGGAAACGGCAGGUGCGCGUCGACUGGAACUUCGGCGAAGAAAUCGCUCACUACCGGCGAUCCUCGCCGUCCGAGUACGUACCACGAACAAGUCGUCCCGCCGGCCCAGUUCCCCCUCUACUCCAGCAGAAGCCGCAGCAAGCGCGAAGCGUCCCUUUCAUCGCUCCAAACCAGCAGCAAGUCCACCCAUCGGUGAGGACUCUCAGAAUGGACAGAUUUCGGGCGAAGGUCGUGCAGGUUUAUCAACCAAUUUCUGAUGGCACCCGCCGGGUUGUUCUCUCCUGAAGGUCAACGCGAAAGUUGAGCCACGUCUCCAAAAAAUCAUCGACUUUGUGCACCAGCAACGAGCGAUCGAUCCGGGUUGAAAGCCAUCUGUUCGCGGUCAAUUCAUUCCGGAAGCUGGUUGCAAGUAGAAACAAGACAGAGUUCCGAGUGAUUGAGCUGAAACUCCGUGACAUCCGCCAGGACCGGUAAAUCCGGAUGAUGGCAAUUGCCAAAAGAGAGUUACGUAGGUUACUCCAAGAAGCGAACAAGCUAGGACCGGUGGGCGGAAUAUUUAACUUGGAACGGCCUCGAAGUGCUCCACUCAGUGAUUUUCUGAUAUUAGGUCAGAAACUUUAAUUAU
This is an RNA transcript of Culex quinquefasciatus (southern house mosquito), 1792 nucleotides long. RefSeq lists it as uncharacterized. NCBI's taxonomy places the organism in Eukaryota, Metazoa, Arthropoda, Insecta, Diptera, Culicidae. The transcript has 6 exons. The record is from RefSeq and is a predicted model, not a curated record.